Molecule: ribosomal RNA, 268 nt
Filed under: uncultured bacterium
Lineage: Bacteria
Description: partial 16S ribosomal RNA
Rfam family: Bacterial small subunit ribosomal RNA
Source: RNAcentral
GUUACAAUGGCGUGGACAAAGGGAUGCCACCUGGCGACAGGGAGCGAAUCCCCAAACCACGUCUCAGUUCGGAUCGGAGUCUGCAACCCGACUCCGUGAAGCUGGAUUCGCUAGUAAUCGCGCAUCAGCCAUGGCGCGGUGAAUACGUUCCCGGGCCUUGUACACACCGCCCGUCAAGCCAUGGGAGCCGGGGGUACCUGAAGUCCGUAACCGCGAGGAUCGGCCUAGGGUAAAACUGGUGACUGGGGCUAAGUCGUAACAAGGUACC